UACGAACCGUACAAACGUUAUUCGGAAGCACUGGGCUUAAAGGGUGCGUAGGCGGCCACGUAGGUGAGAUGUGAAAUCCCUCGGCUCAGCCGAGGAAGUGCAUUUCAUACUGCAUGGCUUGAGGGAGACAGGGGUAAGCGGAACUGAUGGUAGAGCGGUGAAAUGCGUUGAUAUCAUCAGGAACACCGGUGGCGAAAGCGGCUUACUGGGUCUCUUCUGACGCUGAGGUACGAAAGCUAGGGGAGCGAACGGG
RNAcentral lists this ribosomal RNA (253 nucleotides) under uncultured bacterium. RNAcentral describes it as "partial 16S ribosomal RNA". It matches the Rfam family "Bacterial small subunit ribosomal RNA", at positions 524 to 776 of the family's 1533-position model. The record is from RNAcentral.